GGUUGUGGCUCAGCGGUAGAGCACUCGCCUAGCACGUGCAAGGCCCUGUGUUCGAUCCUUAGCACCA
Molecule: transfer RNA, 67 nt
Filed under: Marmota monax (woodchuck)
Lineage: Eukaryota; Metazoa; Chordata; Mammalia; Rodentia; Sciuridae
Description: tRNA.Ala
Source: RNAcentral